This 1072-nucleotide ribosomal RNA is filed under the name uncultured bacterium. Its description in RNAcentral is "bacterial SSU rRNA". It matches the Rfam family "Bacterial small subunit ribosomal RNA", at positions 241 to 1331 of the family's 1533-position model. The record is from RNAcentral.
UUAGUUAGUUGGCGGAGUAACAGCCCACCAAGACGAUGAUCAGUAGCUGGUCUGAGAGGACGGACAGCCACACUGGAACUGAGACACGGUCCAGACUCCUACGGGAGGCAGCAGUGAGGAAUUUUGCUCAAUGGGCGCAAGCCUGAAGCAGCGACGCCGCGUGAAUGAUGAAGUCUUUCGGGAUGUAAAGUUCUGUCGAUGGGGACAAUAAUGAUGGUACCCAUAGAGGAAGCACCGGCAAACUAUGUGCCAGCAGCCGCGGUAAUACAUAGGGUGCAAGCGUUAUCCGGAUUUACUGGGCGUAAAGCGUAUGUAGGUGGUAUUUUAAGUCAAACUUCAAAUCUCGGGGCUCAACCUCGAUUCGGGUUUGAUACUGGAAUACUUGAGUUUGGGAGAGGAAAGCGGAACUAACAGUGUAGCGGUGAAAUGCGUAGAUAUUGUUAGGAACACCCGUGGCGAAGGCGGCUUUCUGGACCAACACUGACACUGAGAUACGAAAGCGUGGGGAGCAAACAGGAUUAGAUACCCUGGUAGUCCACGCUGUAAACAAUGUACAUUAGGUAUAGGGGGUAUCGACUCCCUCUGUGCCGAAGCUAACGCGUUAAAUGUACCGCCUGGGGAGUACGGUCGCAAGAUUAAAACUCAAAGGAAUUGACGGGGGCCCGCACAAGCAGUGGAUCAUGUGGUUUAAUUCGACGAUACCCGAAAAACCUUACCAGAACUUGACAUCUAGGGAAUCCCAUAGAAGUAUGGGAGUGCUCGCAAGAGAGCCCUAAGACAGGUGGUGCAUGGUUGUCGUCAGCUCGUGUCGUGAGAUGUUAGGUUAAGUCCUGCAACGAGCGCAACCCUCGUGUUGUGUUGCUACAUUAAGUUGAGCACUCUCAACAGACUGCCCGUGGUAAACGGGAGGAAGGUGGGGAUGACGUCAAAUCAUCAUGCCCUUUAUGUUCUGGGCUACACACAUGAUACAAUGACAAGUACAAAGGGAUGCCAAACCGCAAGGUGGAGCAAAUCUCAUAAAACUUGCCUCAGUUCAGAUCGCAGGCUGCAACUCGCCUGCGUGAAGAUGGAA